UUGUGAAAACAUUGUCAUGUUGAUGAAUGUUCUGUAUGAGCAACCAUGGUGCACAGCUUUCCCUUUGUAUAUGCUUACAAUGGUUUUCUUUGUAUUGUGUGAACGGAGAUCGUCAGUGACAGUGAAUGUAUUGUCACAAUGAUGAACGAUGUUUGUAAUUGGCGGGUCACAUAUGUAUCAGCACAACACAGUCUAAUCAGUAAGGCUCUUUUCCACAAAUGGGGCUUGAUGUAUAAUAUCUGAAUAAAUCGCACCUCACCCCUA
Long non-coding RNA from Haliotis rubra (blacklip abalone), 264 nucleotides. RefSeq lists it as uncharacterized. The transcript has 2 exons. Lineage: Eukaryota; Metazoa; Mollusca; Gastropoda; Lepetellida; Haliotidae. The record is from RefSeq and is a predicted model, not a curated record.